RNAcentral lists this ribosomal RNA (417 nucleotides) under Ansonia longidigita (long-fingered stream toad). Its description in RNAcentral is "partial 12S ribosomal RNA". It matches the Rfam family "Bacterial small subunit ribosomal RNA", at positions 771 to 1399 of the family's 1533-position model. The record is from RNAcentral. Lineage: Eukaryota; Metazoa; Chordata; Amphibia; Anura; Bufonidae.
ACUGGGAUUAGAUACCCCACUAUGCCCAGCCAUAAACUUUUAUUUACACCACAAAUCGCCAGGGAACUACAAGCUAAGCUUAAAACCCAAAGGACUUGACGGUACCCCAUAUCCCCCUAGAGGAGCCUGUCCUACAAUCGAUAAUCCACGUUUAACCUCACCAUUUUUAGUAAAUCAGCCUGUAUACCUCCGUCGUCAGCUUACCACGUGAGCGUCCAUUAGUGAGCCAAAUGUUACUCCACCCACACGUCAGGUCAAGGUGCAGCAAAUGAAAUGGGAAGAGAUGGGCUACACUUUCUAUAUUAGAAAAAACGAAAAACUAUUUAUGAAACCUAGUUAGAAGGCGGAUUUAGCAGUAAAAAGGAAUUAGCAUGUCCAUUUUAACCCGGCACUGGGGUGUGUACACACCGCCCGUCA